CAUUCUUUCAAAAUUGCAGGUUACAAUGAAGCUUAUUAUUCUAGAAAAUUACAAUGAGGCCAGUGAAUGGGCUGCAAAGUACAUUAGGAACAGAAUAAUCCAAUUUAAUCCAGGACCAAAUAAAUAUUUCACUCUUGGACUUCCCACUGGAAGUACCCCAUUAGGAUGUUACAAAAAACUGAUUGAAUACUGUAAGAAUGGAGAUCUCUCUUUCAAAUAUGUGAAAACCUUCAAUAUGGAUGAAUAUGUAGGUCUUCCAAGGGAACAUCCAGAGAGUUACCAUUCCUUCAUGUGGAAUAACUUCUUCAAGCAUAUUGACAUCUCUCCUGAAAACACUCAUAUUCUGGAUGGGAAUGCAGCCGACUUGCAGGCAGAGUGCGGUGCCUUUGAAGACAAAAUAAAAGCAGCUGGAGGAAUAGAACUCUUUGUUGGGGGUAUUGGUCCAGAUGGUCAUAUUGCCUUCAAUGAACCAGGGUCAAGUUUGGUAUCUAGAACUAGAGUGAAGACAUUAGCUAUGGACACAAUAUUGGCUAAUGCUAGAUUCUUUGAAGGUGACCUUUCCAAAGUGCCCACAAUGGCUCUCACAGUUGGAGUGGGUACAGUCAUGGAUGCCAAAGAGGUUAUGAUUCUGAUCACAGGAGCCCAUAAAGCAUUUGCAUUAUACAAAGCAAUUGAAGAAGGGGUGAACCACAUGUGGACUGUUUCUGCGUUUCAGCAACAUCCCCGAACCAUAUUUAUAUGCGACGAUGAUGCUACUCUGGAGCUUAAAGUAAAAACUGUGAAGUAUUUUCAAGGGUUGAUGCUUGUUCACAACAAACUCGUAGAACCACUCUACAGCAUGAAAGAAGUUACAGCAGAAAGUCAAUCUGAAAAAGCCUACAGUGACUAGCUUCUCUGAGCAACCGGCUAGAUCUUUCUGGCACCAUUGCAAGAAGUUGGUGGAGAGCAGUCUUUCAAUAUACAAUAUACAUUAUUGGACUCAAUUAUUGAAAAGCAUCUUUUUUUUCUACCAGGUGCAAGAGUAGGAGUGGAUGCAACUGCAUCAAGCAAUGUCAAGUAACUCAGGACUAAUUACACAUCAGUUUCCUACGGUUUUAAGAACAUAGACCAAAUGAACUUCCAAACCGAGUUUUCUGGCAGUGGCCGCUCUGGGUGUACGCUCUAUGGUUGUGGGCCAACACAACCAAAAUUUACUGUGGAGAUGAUCCCAGCCUACAGUCAGGAUUGGACUGAGCUGAUAGUUUAAAAAAUGGCCGUCCACAGCAAUUCAAAGCUAGACCACAAUUCUUGCUCCUAAAAAGCAUCGUCGUCCCCUUUCCCUGUGCUUUUUUGUAUUUUAUGUAGUUUGUAUUCACUUUGCAUUUAUAAUUCUUUAUAACAUCAUUUAAAAAAAUCUUCUACUGAAUAAAGCCUUCUAUAUAUUCCCUAUUCAAUUAAAGACACAAAGAAAUAAAUAAAGAGAAAAAUCAAGAUCUAUCUAAGAAGACAGCCUUUAAGAAUUGUAUUUCUAACAGUUUGCCAAUCCAUGGUAACCAUUAGCUGCAAUUUUAGAUGUAAAAUAUUGGAGAUAUGGAUAGUGACCCAAUUAUGAAAUCAGAAUGAUUAGAAUGAAAAUGUUUGAUCUGAUUUGGAGAGUGAAUUAAAUAUAUUAAGCUCCAUAAGAAUCUGAAGCUAUACAAGAGACUUAAAUCAUCUUCUAAAACAAUUAAAAAUUAGACAUUUUUUUUGAAACUGAGAUCUUAAAAUGCUCCAUAGAAUUAAGAUAGUUAUUUUCCCCCUUUCUUAAACAAACAAAUAAAAACAGCAGGAAAAUUUGGGCCACAAAAUUUCAUCAGUAUAAUCUUGAAAUGCUUUUAGGAUUACAAGACAAACUGGAGGACCACCUGCACCAUCCAUUCUAUGAGAUUAUUGAAGAGUUUCCCACAUCCAAAAUUAUGUUAAUUUAUUGACUAGAUUUAUAUCCCACUUUUCAUUCAGAAGUUCAAGAUGGCAUAAACAGUGCUCCCCAAAAGAACCCUGUGAGAUACAGUCGGUUCAUGUAAGAAUGUCCCUCUGUGAGUUUCACAACUUGAUAAGUAAAUGACUCAAGAGUUAUUUGGUCAGUACGUUUUCAUGGCUGAGGAGAACCUGAGUUUCCUCAGUGCUAGUCCAUCAUUUUAAGAGCUUACUCCCUAACACUACGCUAAUUCUCUUACAUAUUCAGAGAGCACUGAAUGCAAGG
Molecule: non-coding RNA, 2221 nt
Organism: Thamnophis sirtalis
Lineage: Eukaryota; Metazoa; Chordata; Lepidosauria; Squamata; Natricidae
Source: RefSeq, a predicted model, not a curated record